RNAcentral lists this long non-coding RNA (603 nucleotides) under Dromaius novaehollandiae (emu). RNAcentral describes it as "lncRNA (ENSDNVG00000017557.1)". The record is from RNAcentral. Lineage: Eukaryota; Metazoa; Chordata; Aves; Casuariiformes; Dromaiidae.
ACAAUACUUAAUUUUUCACUGUUUGUCAUGGUGCAUAUUUAGCAUUUCUUCUGUCCUUUAUCAAUCUGCUCUCCUAUCACAUGGGCACAUCAAGAAGAUAUAUAGUAACAUGAAGGCACAUUGGGCCUGGGGUUUACAGCUUCCAAUUCCUUGUUCUGGAGGACUGGAGUGGAAGUGAGAACAUGUAGAGAAAGAAGAAGAGGAAUUAAAUGUAAGACCUAGGUUGUCCAAGGGAGUGGAGGUGUUUCAGCAAUAGGCCUCCCAGACCUGACCUGUUCCCUGACCGCCUUCCCCGGCUCGUCCCUGUCUCCUGCCAGAGUCCACAGAGCUUCAGGAAAGGCCGUUAUUUGCGCCGACAGGGGAGCAGGAGCGGAGGGCUGUGUUGCGUGUCGGUGCUGGGGCCUGGGAGGAAGGCUGCUGCUAGCUCCCGCGGGAACACCAGAGGGGCCAGCUUUGCUUACAGCUCCGCGUUUGCCAGCGGAGAUGCGCACACCCAGCACAUUCCUGUGUGUGGCCUUAGUCCCUUAGCACGCUGCUAAAUAGAUCUCAAAACUCUGGACCCUGCCAAAGGCGCACGCACAAAUAAAACUGAGCUGCCCCUCA